UACGAAGGGGGCUAGCGUUGCUCGGAAUUACUGGGCGUAACGGGCACGUAGGCGGCCUGGUUAGUUAGCUUUGAAAUUCCUGGGCUUAACCUUUUUCCUUCCUUUCAUACAGCCAAGCUUGAGUGUGGAAGAGGGUCGUGGAAUUCCCAGUGUAGAGGUGAAAUUCGUAGAUAUUGGGAAGAACACCGGUGGCGAAGGCGGCGACCUGGUCCAUUACUGACGCUGAGGCGCGAAAGCGUGGGGAGCAAACAGG
Molecule: ribosomal RNA, 253 nt
Filed under: uncultured bacterium
Lineage: Bacteria
Description: partial 16S ribosomal RNA
Rfam family: Bacterial small subunit ribosomal RNA
Source: RNAcentral